RNAcentral lists this ribosomal RNA (468 nucleotides) under uncultured bacterium. RNAcentral describes it as "bacterial SSU rRNA". It matches the Rfam family "Bacterial small subunit ribosomal RNA", at positions 329 to 793 of the family's 1533-position model. The record is from RNAcentral.
UUCCAGACUCCUACGGGAGGCAGCAGUGAGGAAUAUUGGUCAAUGGGCGGAAGCCUGAACCAGCCAAGUCGCGUGAGGGAAGAAGGCCCUGCGGGUCGCAGACCUCUUUGGACGGGGAGCAAGGCCGCCGACGUGUCGGCGGAAGGAGAGUACCCGUAGAACAAGCAUCGGCUAACUCCGUGCCAGCAGCCGCGGUAAUACGGAGGAUGCGAGCGUUAUCCGGAUUUACUGGGUGUAAAGGGAGCGUAGACGGCGACGCAAGUCUGGAGUGAAAGCCCGGGGCCCAACCCCGGGACUGCUCUGGAAACUGCGUCGCUGGAGUACGGGAGGGGCAGGCGGAAUUCCUGGUGUAGCGGUGAAAUGCGUAGAUAUCAGGAGGAACACCGGCGGCGAAGGCGGCCUGCUGGACCGUGACUGACGUUGAGGCUCGAGAGCGUGGGGAGCAAACAGGAUUAGAUACCCUCGUAC